CACAUUUCUUCCCAAAAGGGAGAAGCUGCAGAGAAUGGAGGAGGGAAAAAUGCGUAGGGCAUAUUCAUGAUAUUAGCCUAGCAACAAAACGCACUGGAAGGCAACAGCACUUCUGGCAUUAAACACACUGAAAGUACUCAUGUCAAUAAAACUAAACAAAACCAUGUUCAUGGUGGGAAAAUUUCACCUUAACUCGAUGAGUGCAAUUUUGCCCAUGCCACCAUUGGGGAAACAAAUCCUGCAAUAUCCUUUUUAUGCAAGAAUGUAUCUACUGUAACAAGACAGAUUCAUUCUGGAAAAUUUUUUGUCAAUAUAUCCUUUGUUAGGCAGUAUCUUCAUCUCCUAGCAACAGCGUGGGGAAAUCCAUCAGGGACACAGAAUUUAACGCACACAGCCUGGCUCUGGGGACACAAGCUGAAGCGCCUGAAAGCGCAGAUGGCCUAUCUUCUGCUCGGAAAUUCUGUUCUGCUAUCCUGCAAGCCAGAAACAAAGCUUCGUCUCUCUUCAGAGAGCAGGAGCAGGCUGGAAACGCAUUGGAGACAAUGGAGAAGGAGUCCGUGUUUGUUGAACUCAGGCUCACUAAGAAAUGGAUUAAAAGUAUUGUCCACAUCCAAUACCACGAAAAAUGAGCUUUGCACUGUGUGAGAUGAGAGCUUUUCCUUCCCCUUUCUCUCCUGUUUCUUUUCCCCUUAAGUGAGUUGAUUUGAAAAGAAAGCUGUAAUCUCUCCUUGAUGAAAGAGUUCUUCAAUACCCCGGUGCACCAAUGAACCAGGGCUGCAGCUUGCAGGCAUUUCACUGGGCAAUUCAGAGCCAAGUUCAUAGGGCUGCAGUCUUUUCAGGGAGGGGCACAGAGCCUAGAAAUAAGUUCAGUUCCAGCUAUUUCAGGAAGAGUUUUCGUAGCUCCUUUAUGUUAGGAAACCUGGAAAACCAAAUUACG
RNAcentral lists this long non-coding RNA (937 nucleotides) under Numida meleagris (helmeted guineafowl). RNAcentral's name for it is "lncRNA (ENSNMEG00000007606.1)". Lineage: Eukaryota; Metazoa; Chordata; Aves; Galliformes; Numididae. The record is from RNAcentral.